This 496-nucleotide ribosomal RNA is filed under the name uncultured bacterium. Its description in RNAcentral is "partial 16S ribosomal RNA". It matches the Rfam family "Bacterial small subunit ribosomal RNA", at positions 29 to 507 of the family's 1533-position model. The record is from RNAcentral.
ACGAACGCUGGCGGCGUGCCUAAUACCUGCAAGUUGAGCGCUGAAGGUUGGUACUUGUACCAACUGGAUGAGCAGCGAACGGGUGAGUAACGCGUGGGGAAUCUGCCUUUGAGCGGGGGACAACAUUUGGAAACGAAUGCUAAUACCGCAUAAAAACUUUAAACACAAGUUUUAAGUUUGAAAGAUGCAAUUGCAUCACUCAAAGAUGAUCCCGCGUUGUAUUAGCUAGUUGGUGAGGUAAAGGCUCACCAAGGCGAUGAUACAUAGCCGACCUGAGAGGGUGAUCGGCCGCAUUGGGACUGAGACACGGCCCAAACUCCUACGGGAGGCAGCAGUAGGGAAUCUUCGGCAAUGGACGAAAGUCUGACCGAGCAACGCCGCGUGAGUGAAGAAGGUUUUCGGAUCGUAAAACUCUGUUGGUAGAGAAGAACGUUGGUGAGAGUGGAAAGCUCAUCAAGUGACGGUAACUACCCAGAAAGGGACGGCUAACUACGUG